This 468-nucleotide ribosomal RNA is filed under the name uncultured bacterium. Its description in RNAcentral is "partial 16S ribosomal RNA". It matches the Rfam family "Bacterial small subunit ribosomal RNA", at positions 28 to 507 of the family's 1533-position model. The record is from RNAcentral.
GACGAACGCUGGCGGCGUGCUUAACACAUGCAAGUCGAACGGAAAGGCCCUGCUUUUGUGGGGUGCUCGAGUGGCGAACGGGUGAGUAACACGUGAGUAACCUGCCCUUGACUUUGGGAUAACUUCAGGAAACUGGGGCUAAUACCGGAUAGGAGCUCCUGCUGCAUGUUGGGGGUUGGAAAGUUUCGGCGGUUGGGUAUGGACUCGCGGCUUAUCAGCUUGUUGGUGGGGUAGUGGCUUACCAAGGCUUUGACGGGUAGCCGGCCUGAGAGGGUUACCGGCCACAUUGGGACUGAGAUACGGCCCAGACUCCUACGGGAGGCAGCAGUGGGGAAUAUUGCACAAUGGGCGGAAGCCUGAUGCAGCAACGCCGCGUGCGGGAUGACGGCCUUCGGGUUGUAAACCGCUUUCGCCUGUGACGAAGCGUGAGUGACGGUAAUGGGUAAAGAAGCACCGGCUAACUACGUG